CCGGGGCUCCCAUCUCUUGCUGGGUCUGUUUUCAGGUGCACCCUCCUCCUCCAGGAGGCAGGGGCAAGACCAGCUUCAGCCCUUCUUGCUCUCCAUGGCAGAAGUCCUAGCAGAGUAUGCCCACGCUGGUUAGUGCUGCUGCAAAGAUGAGCCGAAGACCAUGAGAGACCUCCAGGUGGUCCUUCUGGGGAGAAGAAAUGGGUUUUGGCCCCAAAUCCUUCUGCUGCAUUUUUCCCCUAUCCCUGGGAAGCCAUGAGACCUCAAACCUGUGUUCCCAAGGAGGCGAGCUGCUGUUCCCAGGUGAUGAUAUGAUGUGCUUGGGGAAAGUAAGUGGCUGCCAGACAUGGCUGAGAGCUGUUGUCACUGCCGUCAAGUGCAUGUCUCCAAGCCAUAUCACACGGCGUCCCUCGAUGUGAGGCCACAUGGCAAGUGGGCCGUGGAUCUCCCUCUGCCCUUUGCAAGCACGUAAGACAGCAGAUUUUGCAGAUACCUUGUGGCGCAGGGGAAUUUCCUUUGGCCAGGUCUGAAGAAAUAAAGCAGCAGGCACCGAGAACAAAGCCAAGGCUUUCAAAAGACAAGGAG
Molecule: long non-coding RNA, 582 nt
Filed under: Homo sapiens (human)
Lineage: Eukaryota; Metazoa; Chordata; Mammalia; Primates; Hominidae
Description: non-protein coding lnc-SSTR4-2:7
Source: RNAcentral